RNAcentral lists this long non-coding RNA (2488 nucleotides) under Pongo abelii (Sumatran orangutan). RNAcentral's name for it is "lncRNA (ENSPPYG00000031232.1)". The record is from RNAcentral. Lineage: Eukaryota; Metazoa; Chordata; Mammalia; Primates; Hominidae.
GAGGGAGGCUCUGACCACAGCACACAGCACCGGCAACUUUGUCUAAUGUGAUCAUUAACCUUCCUGCAAAACACAGCUGGCAGUUCUCUGAGGUUUGUCAUUAGAAUGUGAAGACAGCCACACAGAUAUUGCACAGACUAUUUACGGAUCAUUUGGUUUACAUUGAGAGUCAUUGCUCCACUUUUGUACGGUAGGAAAAUGAGAUUUCAGCAAUUCCUUUUUGCAUUUUUUAUUUUUAUUAUGAGUCUUCUCCUCAUCAGCGGACAGAGACCAGUUAAUUUGACCAUGAGAAGAAAACUGCGCAAACACAAUUGCCUUCAGAGGAGAUGUAUGCCUCUCCAUUCACGAGUACCCUUCCCCUGAGAUCUCUCUAGCUAACUUUACUGGAUCUAUCAGAAGAAGAAGAGGAGUGAAGGAAAGACACCCAGCCACACAAAAGAACUUCAUGAUGCCAACAGCGUGAUUGCCUAGAAGUUCCUACACAAAAAAAGGAUCAUUUGAAAGCACCUGGAAUGGUUUAUUAGCUUCAAAGGAUUUUAUUCUUCUUGGCUUCUAUUUGGAGGGAAAAUAACAUAAAUUCAAAAGGAUUCCAAUCUGAAGCCCAAAUUGUUUGCCUACAUAACAAAAAUAUCUCAUCUUUUCCUGCACAUUAUUAUUCUCUUAUGGGUUAAAAAGAAAAAUACCUUUUAGUGUCUUAGAACUCUCUCAUGGUAAAAAGUGCAAGAAUUUAAAAUGUUGCUUUCAUAUUCUCAUAAUUCUCCAAAAGUAUUAAAUUUGUAUGUGUUUGAGUGAUUUUCUAAAAACUGCUCAACCUGAAAUCAAUUGCAUUGACCAUUUGGCUUCGCACAAUAGGGAGAAAAUAAUUGGUUCAUUGAUUAUAUAGAGAGAAAGACUAAGAAAAGCUAUUAAUUGCUACCAAUUUUAUGAUAAGCUUUAAGGUUUAUGAAAGUAUGAUUUUUUAAUUUAAUGAGUAAUGUCCAUUUGAAGUUGAAAGAAAACAUAAAAUCCUAAUUGUAGUUCAUUUUAUGUUCAAAUGAAACCAUUGUUUUUGUUUUUGUUUUGAAACAGAGUCUUGCUCUGUUGCCCAGGCUAGAGUGAAGUGGCACACUUUUGUCUCACUGCAACCUCCACCUCCCGAGUUCAAGUGAUUCUCGUGCCUCAACCUCCCAAUUAUAGGCUGGGAUUACAGGUGUGCACCACUACACCCAGCUAAUUUUUGUAUUUUUUGUAGAGAUGGGGUUUUACCCUGUUUCCCAGGCUGGUCUUGAACUCAGGCUGGAACCAUUCAUUUUUUAACCUUUCUCAUCAUGUAAUUAUAAGAACCCAGUGUUUGAUUUCCUUUGAAGUUUUGUUAUGUCCUUUAUUAUUUUGUAUAGAUAAUUUCUUAAAAAGUCUUACUUAAAGUCGACAUCUAAAAUACAGUUAUGCCAGUGAAGUCCCACUCAGAGUGAUAUCUGUAUCUAAAAGAUGAGUGCUCAUCAUCCUAUUAGGCUUUGUCUUGGUGUUGUUCAUCCUGAGAUGCUGAGACAUGGAAAUAAAAAAUCAGAAGGAAUUUAGGGAUAUGAUUACUCAAAAAAGAAACUAUCCUGUCUAAAUUUGAAUUGUAUUGAUAACUAGGUGUUCCCCAGAUGCUAAGAUGUUCUUAAUUUGUAUUUAUUGAAGGAUCGUUAGCUUAGUGCCACAAAAUUUUUCAUACUUUAUGUUAAUUCCAGAUAAGAAAUUUACAAGUUUAUAUCUUUUUUUUUUUUUAAGAUGAGAUCUGGCUCUAUCACCCUGGCUAAAGUGCAGUGGCAUGAUCUAUGCUCAACCUCCACCUCCCUGGCUCAAGCGAUCCUUCCACUUCAGCCUCCCGAGUACCUGGGACUACAGGCACUCACGGCCACACCUGACUAAUUUGUGUAUUUUUUGUAGAGAUGGGGUAUCGCCAUGUUGCCCAGGUUGGUCUCAAACUCAGGCUGGUGAGCUCAAGUGAUCCGCCUCCUUGGCCUCCCAAAAUACUGGGAUUACAGGCAUGUGCCACCAUGCUGGGCCACAGGUUCAUAUCUGGAGUAGAAGUUUUACUUUGUAAAUAUUGUAAAGUAGAAGAAACCAUAAACCAUUAACCUUUAUUUUGCUAAAAUGAAAGGUUGGGGUUAAUAUAAAUGUAAUUUUAAAUAGAAAAUCUGACAACACUGUGGAGUUUGUCUUCCUUUCAAAGCUUAUUAAAAGUGUCUUUGCGGAUGAAUGGUACUUUCCACAAGUGCAUUUGAGUAGAAACACAACCUAUUCUCAGUUAUAUUUAUGUUUUAAAACAUGUACUUGUUUGUAUAUUUUGUACUGAAAAAAGAAAACACUUUAUAGUCAAGAUACAUCUCGUUCAAUACAAGUCUAAACUAAUUCAAGUACAAAUUCGCAUAUUCACAGAAAAAGUUACAAAUGAGUUUUACCAUUGUAAAGUAAUGAAAUGGUUAUACAUUUCUUAAUUGUUCAAUAAAACACUCAAUGAUUU